RNAcentral lists this ribosomal RNA (277 nucleotides) under Pneumocystis carinii. Its description in RNAcentral is "partial small subunit ribosomal RNA". Lineage: Eukaryota; Fungi; Ascomycota; Pneumocystomycetes; Pneumocystales; Pneumocystaceae. The record is from RNAcentral.
CCACGAUAAAUCUUACCACUUCUUGUAUAGUCAGGUUUAUAUAUUAUUUAUUUAAUAAUAUUCAUAUAUAUUAAUUUGAAUAAUAUAUUUAUUAUAUAUUGAUUACAGGUGUUGCAUGGCUGUCUUUAGUUCGUGUUGUGAAAUGUUAGGUUAAUUCCGAAAACGAACGCAAACCUUAUCUUUAAUUAUUUAUUACUUAAUUGUUUUUUUUUAUUUGUUUAAAUAAAUUUAAAAGUUAAGUUGUUUAUUAAAGAAAUGUCUAUCGAUAUUAUAGAAU